AAGUCGUAACAAGGUUUCCGUAGGUGAACCUGCGGAAGGAUCAUUACCUAGAGUUGCGGGCUUUGCCUGCCAUCUCUUACCCAUGUCUUUUGAGUACCUUCGUUUCCUCGGCGGGUUCGCCCGCCGAUUGGACAAAACUUAAACCCUUUGUAAUUGAAAUCAGCGUCUGAAAAAAACAUAAUAGUUACAACUUUCAACAACGGAUCUCUUGGUUCUG
RNAcentral lists this unclassified non-coding RNA (217 nucleotides) under air metagenome. RNAcentral describes it as "partial contains small subunit ribosomal RNA, internal transcribed spacer 1, and 5.8S ribosomal RNA". The stretch from base 1 to 46 matches the Rfam family "Eukaryotic small subunit ribosomal RNA", at positions 1786 to 1831 of the family's 1831-position model. The record is from RNAcentral.